Molecule: ribosomal RNA, 274 nt
Filed under: uncultured bacterium
Lineage: Bacteria
Description: partial 16S ribosomal RNA
Rfam family: Bacterial small subunit ribosomal RNA
Source: RNAcentral
AUACGGAGGGUGCAAGCGUUACUCGGAAUCACUGGGCGUAAAGCGCGCGCAGGCGGCUUGAUAAGUUGGAUGUGAAAGCCUACGGCUCAACCGUAGAACUGCAUCCAAAACUGUCAGGCUAGAGUGUGGGAGAGGAAGAUGGAAUUAGUUGUGUAGGGGUAAAAUCCGUAGAGAUAACUAGGAAUACCAAAAGCGAAGGCAAUCUUCUGGAACAGUACUGACGCUGAGGCGCGAAGGCGUGGGGAGCAAACAGGAUUAGAUACCCCGGUAGUCC